Molecule: ribosomal RNA, 424 nt
Filed under: uncultured Lactobacillus sp.
Lineage: Bacteria; Bacillati; Bacillota; Bacilli; Lactobacillales; Lactobacillaceae
Description: bacterial SSU rRNA
Rfam family: Bacterial small subunit ribosomal RNA
Source: RNAcentral
GGAAUCUUCCACAAUGGGCGCAAGCCUGAUGGAGCAACACCGCGUGAGUGAAGAAGGGUUUCGGCUCGUAAAGCUCUGUUGUUAGAGAAGAACGUGCGUGAGAGCAAUUGUUCACGCAGUGACGGUAUCUAACCAGAAAGUCACGGCUAACUACGUGCCAGCAGCCGCGGUAAUACGUAGGUGGCAAGCGUUAUCCGGAUUUAUUGGGCGUAAAGCGAGCGCAGGCGGUUUUUUAAGUCUGAUGUGAAAGCCUUCGGCUUAACCGAAGAAUUGCAUCGGAAACUGGGAAACUUGAGUGUAGAUGAGGACAGUGGAACUCCAUGUGUAGCGGUGGAAUGCGUAGAUAUAUGGAAGAACACCAGUGACGAAGGCGGCUGUCUGGUCUGCAACUGACGCUGAGGCUCGAAAGCAUGGGUAGCGAACA